UACGAAGGGGGCUAGCGUUGUUCGGAAUUACUGGGCGUAAAGCGCGCGCAGGCGGUCUUCCAAGUCAGUGGUGAAAGCCCGGAGCUCAACUCCGGAAAUGCCAUUGAAACUGUAAGACUUGAGGAUGAGAGAGGUGAGUGGAAUUCCCAGUGUAGAGGUGAAAUUCGUAGAUAUUGGGAAGAACACCAGUGGCGAAGGCGGCUCACUGGACUGGUAUUGACGCUGAGGUGCGAAAGCGUGGGGAGCAAACAGG
This 253-nucleotide ribosomal RNA is filed under the name uncultured bacterium. RNAcentral's name for it is "partial 16S ribosomal RNA". It matches the Rfam family "Bacterial small subunit ribosomal RNA", at positions 524 to 776 of the family's 1533-position model. The record is from RNAcentral.